UUAGAUCCUCUUUAUCGUCAUGAAAAGGCUUAAGCAUCACAUGAAACACUGUUUGAAAUUUAAGUUUUGUCAGCAACUCAAGCUUGUAGGCCACUCUAUUUACUAUCUUCACAAUUCAAAAGGGUCCUUCAUACCAUCACACAAGCCUCUUCUGCAAACCAUUAUGUCAUAAAACAAGAGUAGUUUAAUAAGGACUAAAUUACCAACCUAAAAUUGCACAUCCCUUUGAUUCUGAUCCACCUACUUCUUGUUAUGCUUACUGACAUUGUUUAGACAAGCUCUAGCCAAGUCAUUUUUCUCUAGUCAAGCUUUGAGUGACAGCCUGCAGGUUCCCCAAUCUGCCUAUCUUGGAAUACGGAUCAAGGAGUGACAUGUGUGCAAGUCAAUGGGCUAGAAAACCAGUAAGGUGCAAGGAAGCUGAUUGGUGGGAUCCCUCGCGGGAGUAUUGCCGAUCGACCUUGAUCUUUUGAGAAGGGCUAGAGUGAGAGAAUGCCUGUCAGGACAUAAAACAUGGUAAACUAUGCAUGAGCGGGGCGAAGCUAGAGGAAACUCUGGUGGAGGCCUAUAGUGAUAUUGACAUGAAAAUCAUUCGUCUGACUUGGGUAUAGGGGUGAAAGACUAAUCUAACCGUCUAGUAGUUGGUUCCCUGCAAAGUUUGCCUCAGGAUAGUUGGAGCCCUUAAUGAGUUCUAUCGGGUAAAGCCAAUGAUUAGAGGCAUUGGGGGCUUAACACCCUCGAUAUAUUCUUAAACUUUAAAUAGGUAGGAUAGUGCAGCUGCUUCGUUGAGCCAUGCCAUAUAAUCGAGAGCUCCAAGUGGGAUAUUUUUGGCAAGCAAAACUGAUGUUGCGGGAUGAACCAGAAGCAGAGUUAUGGUGCCCAAUUGCGUGCUAACCUAUAACCUACAAAGGGUGUUGGUAAUGAGAGUGUAAAAACUCACCUGCUGAAUCAACUAGCCCUAAAAAUGGAUGGUGCUUAAGUGCGUGACCUAUACUCGACCGUCGAGGCAAAGGCUAGGCCCCAUUGAGUAUGAGGGCACAAAAGUCGUUGAAAAACUCAAGGUGAGAGCUUGGACAGAAUGGCCAUCGGUGUAGAUCUUGUUAGUGGUAGCAAAUAUUCAAAUAAGAACUUUGAAGGCUGAAGAGGGGAAAAGCUCCAUGUGGAUGAGACUUGCACAUGGGUUAGUCAAUCCUAAAAGAUGGGAGAAGCUCAUCUGAUAGCGAGUCUAUCGUGAGCUUUGAAAGUGAAUUGGGUUAAAAUUCCUUAACUAGGAUGCGCCUACUGACGUUAACGUUAGGGAGUCUGAAGACAUCAGCGGAGGCAUCGAGAAGAGUUAUCUUUUCUAUUUAAUAGUUUGACAUCCUUGAAAUGGCUCUGCUAGAGUAGGUUCUAGUGGCCGGAAGGGCGCUACAUGUCGCGUGGUGUCCGGUGUGCCCCCGGUGGCCCUUAAAAAUCUAAAGGACUGAGUGUUGUCUGUGUUUAGUCGUACUCAUAACUGCAUCAGGUUUCCAAGGUGAAAAGCCUCUGGUCAAUGGAACAAUGUAUGCAAGGGAAGUUGGCAAAAUGGAUCCGUAACCUUGGGAAAAGGAUUGGCUCUGAGGGCUGGGCAUAGGGGUCCUAGUCCCGAACACAUCGGUUGCUGGUGUAUUGCUCGAGCUGUUCUCACGGUGAGAGUAGGUUUCCACAUGCCAGCUAGAGGAUGGACUAGGAAUGGCUCCCUUUGAGGCCUUUCUCAGGUAAUAAACAGUCGAUUUAGAACUAAUACGGACAAGGCGAAUCUGAUAGGUUAAUUAAAACAAUGUAUUGUGAUGGUCCCUACGAAUGCUCAGGCAAUAUGAUUUCUGCCCAGUGUUCUGAAUGGAUUAACAAGAUUCCCACUUUUCUUGUUUACUACCCAGUGAAACUAAAGGCAAGGGAAUGGGCUUGGCAGAAUCAGUGGGGAAAGAAGACCCUAUUGAGCUUGACCCUAGCCAGACUUUGUGAAAUGACUUGAUAGGUUUAGGAUAAGUGGGAGCUAUUGGGUGAAAUUGAAAUACCACUAGUUUUAACUUUAUUUUACUUAUUUUGUGAAUCGAAGGUGGGGCCCAACCCUUCUUUUUGGACAUAAGGCCGGCUUCGACCGGUCGAUCUGGGUAGAAGACAUUGUUAUGUAGAGAGUUUAGUUGAGACAACAAAUAUUCUAAAAUAUAGCGUAGGUGUCCAGUGAUGAGCUCAAUGAGAACAAAAAUAUCGUGUGGAAUAAAAGGGUAAAAGCUCAUUUGAUUUUGAUUUUCAGUAUUAAUACGAACCUUCAACGCAUGGCUUAUUGAUACUUUAGACAUUCAGAAUUUGAAGGUAGAGGUGUCAGAAAAGUGACCACAGGUAUAACUGGCUUGUCCCAGCCAAUCGUUCAUAGCGACGUUGCUUUUUGAUCAUUCGAUGUCAACUCUUCCUAUCAUUGUGAAGCAGAAUUCACCAAGUGUUGGAUUGUUCACCCACUAAUAGGGAAUGUGAGCUGGGUUUAGAUCAUCAUGAGACAGGUUAGAUUUACCCUAUUGAUGAUCGCGUCGCGUUGCAUCGCAAUAGUAAUUCAACCUAGUAUGAGAGGAACUGUUGAUUUGCACAAUUAGUCAUUGCGCUUGGUUGAAAAGCCAGUGGCACGAAGCUACCCUGUAUUGAAUUAUCACUGAACGCCUCUAAGUUAAAAUCUAGGCUAGAAGCGACGCACGCACUCAUCGCCCGAUUGCUGACCCGCAAUAGGGCCUUCGGUCCCCAAAGGCACCUGUUGUAGGUGCAUGACUAUAGCGGAUAAGUUGCAGACGCCUUUGUAACAGGCCAAUUUUGGGGCUAGUUAGAAAAGUGGUUUCAAAACCACUAACCCAAGGUCGAAGAAAUUAUU
This 2875-nucleotide ribosomal RNA is filed under the name Gossypium barbadense (sea-island cotton). RNAcentral's name for it is "eukaryotic LSU rRNA". It matches the Rfam family "Eukaryotic large subunit ribosomal RNA", at positions 450 to 3301 of the family's 3401-position model. Lineage: Eukaryota; Viridiplantae; Streptophyta; Magnoliopsida; Malvales; Malvaceae. The record is from RNAcentral.